RNAcentral lists this ribosomal RNA (751 nucleotides) under uncultured crenarchaeote. RNAcentral describes it as "bacterial SSU rRNA". It matches the Rfam family "Archaeal small subunit ribosomal RNA", at positions 532 to 1282 of the family's 1478-position model. Lineage: Archaea; Thermoproteati; Thermoproteota. The record is from RNAcentral.
CAUAAGUUUCCGGUUAAAUCCGUUUGCUUAACAAAUGGGCUGCCGGAAAAACUGUGGAGCCAGGCAGUGGGAGAGGUAGACGGUACUCGGUAGGAAGGGGUAAAAUCCUUUGAUCUAUCGAUGACCACCUGUGGCGAAGGCGGUCUACCAGAACACGUCCGACGGUGAGGGAUGAAAGCUGGGGGAGCAAACCGGAUUAGAUACCCGGGUAGUCCCAGCCGUAAACGAUGCAGACUCGGUGAUGCAUUGGGUUGUGCCCAGUGCAGUGCCGCAGGGAAGCCGUUAAGUUUGCCGCCUAGGAAGUACGUACGCAAGUAUGAAACUUAAAGGAAUUGGCGGGGGAGCACCACAAGGGGUGAAGCCUGCGGUUCAAUUGGAGUCAACGCCAGAAAUCUUACCCGAGGAGACAGCAGAAUGAAGGUCAAGCUGAAGACUUUACCAGACAAGCUGAGAGGUGGUGCAUGGCCGUCGCCAGCUCGUGCCGUGAGAUGUCCUGGUAAGUCAGGUAACGAGCGAGAUCCCUGCCUCUAGUUGCCACCAUUACUCUCUGGAGUAGUGGGGCGAAUUAGAGGGACCGCCACAGUUAAUGUGGAGGAAGGAGGGGGCCACGGCAGGUCAGUAUGCCCCGAAACCUUGGGGCUACACGCGGGCUGCAAUGGUAGUGACAAUGGGCUCUUAACCCGAAAGGGGGCGGUAAUCCUAAAACGCUACCACAGUUAUGAUUGAGGGCCGCAACUCGCCCUCAUGAAUA